Ictalurus punctatus (channel catfish) is the source of this 18326-nucleotide long non-coding RNA. The record is from Ensembl. NCBI's taxonomy places the organism in Eukaryota, Metazoa, Chordata, Actinopteri, Siluriformes, Ictaluridae.
CAUUACCCAGCAUGCUCUGUGCGCGUGAAUCAGGUGAACUUGGCAGAUGGCUUCACGUGCAGCAGAGUGUAAUGAGUGGGAUUUCCUGAGCGCUGCAUUCGAGCGCAGGAGGAACUAAUAGGCAGAGUCCAAGCUGCGUCCUUUACAUCUGUCACAUCGGAACUAGUGGAGUAACAGCGUCUGCAUUUUCCAUCAAGGAAAGUUUUUUGCGAAGUUUGUUAACAUUUCUUCGAUUUAACUCCCCUUUUGUGUCUCUUCAAUGGAUAUUUCUAAUCAUUUUACAGCCGGAUGUAUUGUGCACGUGGAGGAUUUUUCUCUUCUUCUUUUUUUUUUUUUUUUUUUUUUUUUUUUUUUACAAAGUUCUUCAUUUAUGUAAUGGGUUUAUUGGAGGAAUUUGACUGGAGAGAAACUAUGUGGAGGAUACAUACCCUCGUCUCCGUGAUCGGAUGGAUCUGUGCUGGGAUUCCCAGGAUCUUCUUGCCUGUCGCGGAUUCCGACAGAAGCACGCGCUCAGUCUGGAAUUCCUUUGCUCUCUGGAAAUUGCGGCUGAUUUUGGAAAAGUUUGGAUAUCUGCUUAUGGAUGAUACCAUCGCUGAUCACUGAAGAAGUAAUGGACCUUUUUAAAGUUGCCUCUGACUGAGUAAAGCAAUUUAUGCAUGUCAGAGAUUUAAAAAGCAGCAGGUGUGUCGACAUGUGUUUGCGGAUACCUCUAUAAGCCAGAUGUUUGGAGGUCUGGAUGAAGCACAGCAUCCGAAUCAGGCUAUUGGUGUACUCCGACCUUCUCUGUUUUUCCCUCUUCCUCUUUUUCUUUCCAUUCCUCUCUUUUUGCUUUUUUUCGCUCUCACUUACUGUAUGCAUGUGUGUGGUCAUGGACUGCUUCCACUGUCUGACUCCAGUUCUCCCAGAAGCUAAUUGUGUGGUUAUAAUCUGUGGUCUGAGAUUACUCUUCAAGCCAUCACUGCCUAAUUUCUAUCAUCAGUGUGAAAAAACAGGCACAAAUUUCUAAUCAUCAAACCAUACAAAGUGUGCCUUUUGUCUCCAACUGUUGUCUCUGCUUCAUCAUGUUGCCCGUUGGCUACUUUUUUCCCAAUGUAGUAUUUCUUUUACAUCUUUAUAAUUAAAGAGUCCAGUCAUUAAAACUGCUGAACAGUUAUUAACAUAAAUGCACAUCUUUGGUCACAUGUCAGAAGACUAAAAAAAAUUUUCAUUUUCUAUGUUUGUUUGAAUCCAGUCUGAUUUGUGAAGCACCUUGGAACUGUAAAAUAACACAAGCUUCGCACAGGCCUUUACUGGCUUUGUUGUAAAUAUAAUAAGACCCAUGAAAACCCUGUGGAGAUUUUUUACAGGCUGUCCUAAGAUAUGGGUGGUCUUCGUAUUACUGCCUUGAGAGGUAGGCAAAAAGUCAUUUGUGUUUAGAUGUCAAUGAUCCAAAAAUGAACCCUGUGAAAUUUAGCUUUACAAUACUGUUUCCAGAAUAUAGCAUUUAGAAUUAUUUGUCCUGUAUGGUUUCUAGUCUGCAAAAUAUAUGCAGGCUGCUUCAUCAUUUCCUCCUUGGUUGAAAUGAAAUAUUCUGAUAUUCUCUGUAUUAUGAUAAAGAGAUGUGCUUAGAAAAUGUAAGCAGGGGCUCAUUCCCUUAUUCCCACUAUCUGAAAUAUCUCAAGUUUUCCAAUGUUGAACUUUCUUGACAUCCUUAAUAAGGUGUUUUUAUUUUUGAAUAUUUGAAGGUGAAGAGUUGGCGCCUCUGCUCAUAAAGGCAGCAGGAGUCUCCCUAUGUGGCAGUAGAGCCAGCUGAUUCAGCUCUUCCCUUGUUUACACUGAGGCUAGCGUUAGCGAAACCCAAUGCAGCUAGCAUAAACUAGUUCCGCUGUAGCAUCUGCUAUCUCUCCAUUUGUCACCGCAAAAGGUUUACUAAACUGAUGUGCAUAAUGUGUGUUCAAAGUUUGUGGGUUGAUUUAUUGAUGGUUUAUAAAGGCAAUGGUAAUUUUUGACAGCUACCUUUUAAGGAGAUUGAGUUAUUAGCUUCAGUCUGGAGCUCUGUGGUAAAACAAAAAGCAAGGCCUUGAAAUUUGAGGCAACAUGGAGAGAUUUCUAAUACAUUUCUAGCCAAGGGUACUUUUCUCACACAGUAAAUGUCAGGUUUUGAUCAAGGUUUUCGAUAGCUGCAUGCCAAAGUGAGGUGGAUAUAAUACUAAUCAAUUCAGUUUGUGAUCAGAUACUGACUCUCAGACUGUCUUUCUGCUCUGUUACAUUGUCAAAACAGAGCACAUACACACUUUAUAAAGACAAUGCUACAGUAAUUUGCGAUGGCCAAGUUUUGUGAUGGAGCUUUGUGUUUUUAAAAAAAAAAAAAAAAAAAAAAAAAAAAAACCCUUGAAAUCUGAUUCAAUGCUGGACAACAUUUCUGACCUUUUCAAGGAAGACUAUGAUCAGCUUUUGCCUUUUAAUGCACGAUAAAAAGAAAACCAAGCAAUUUUGUUGAACAUUUAUGAGCGCUGUUUUGCCACUGGGUUCCAAACAGGUGCUGAAUUGGCCCAGAGUAGACUGGUCCCUGCUGUGAUGUGUCACUGGAGUGUGUGUAUGUGUGUUUUGUGCAGGAUAACAGAGUUGGUGAAUGGCAUAUUAAACUGUGUGUGCUCCCCCUGCAGAGCCCUUUGUAUUAUAUAAAGACUUCCGAACAGCUCUGGCAUUGUUGUGAGAAGGAAAGGGCCCUUUCUUCUGAUGCUGGCGGUUUUGAAUAUGAUACGCGUGUACGGAAAAUGUGGUCAAAUAAACAGUGUGUUGGGUUACCCUGUCUGUACAAAAUUGUCAGAAUGGAUGGGGCUCAACUUACAUCUACUCUCCAUCCUAGGUACUGGAAUUUCCCCUGAAAUAGAGCCAUUUCUACUGUUUUGUACUAAUUAGUUAUUGUACUUUAUACCUUAAUGGUUCCCUUGUUUGAGGUGUGUGACCUCCUGUAGGACUAAGAUUUAAAUGAGAGGGAGAAGACAAUGAUUUAAUGAAUGUAGUCAUAUGUUUGAGAGAACAGGGUUGAAAGGUUGAAAGAACGUUUAGGGGCAACAAAAAAAAAGGAAAUCUAAAAUGAUACCUUUAGUGAUUGUGCAUAAUUGGUUUUGAUUUGGAUUUUUUUUAAUGCCUGUACCCAAUUCAAUGCCUGUAUUACACAGAUGCACUUACCUGAUUGGUGUGCUCUAAGAAAAAAAAAGUAGAGCCUUAAAUUACAAAACCUAGGUCAUGGCCAUUAUUCAUAAUUUCUCAGCUUUAAUGGGGACAGAAAUCUGUAACAUGAGGAGCAGCAUAUCACACCACACCUGAAGAUCCAACACACCACACCUAAAGAUCCAACACACCACACAUGAAGACCCAGAACACCUUUUGUUUUGCCAAGAACCUAUUGCUCACUUACCUUGCUACUGAGUCAGUAUAUAUCCAGGCUAUUCCAAAUUAAAAUGAGUCUUUUUGUUUUUCAUUCUCUGUUUUGUGCAGUUGUUAAUGAGAAGUUGCACACUGCAGGGUGAUUGAACAAGACAUAAUCGAAUCCUCUGCUUUGUGGUUUGUGUGGUGAAGCAUGUGUUCAUGGAGGCGUUAUAAAUGAACUUGAGGCAAUAGAGGAGGAAGUCCAGGUUCUUCUCGACAGGGUUCUUCCUGCAUUUGGGCUCUUGGGAAAGACUCUCUGAGAGUGCCAGCUAAGGCAGGGUUUGUCUUGGAACAUGCUCAAAGGCUCUCUCCCUUUCCUCAUCUCACAUCUGAAGGGGUAUUUAUGUCCAGAUGACAGGAAGGUAAUUCGUCUGAUGUGUCCAAGUCCAUCUUGCAGACCCCCAAACAGUCCAUGUUGUGUUGCACUGGUCCAUCAUUAAGUGGUCUUAAAGGAAUGUGUUUGGCCAAAUCAUGGAUGCAUCAGACUGGGCAUGCAUAACUCUUCUAGUUGUUUCUGAAUUCACAUAAAUAUGGCUCUUGAAUAUUAUAGUGGUUGAUGGUCUAACGUAAACUAUUAAUGUGUCUGUCACAGGUUAAGAAACCUGGAUUACAUCUCAUUCUGUAUUAAUUUAAAAUGCAUAUGGAUAUCAUAUCUUUCAUGUUAUUCUAAGCUGAUCUUAAUUAGUUCCAUGCCUUUGUGCAACCGUAGUUAUACCUUUCUGAAGAUAUAGUUUCAAAUAUGAGCUUAUUUAACCUGUGUUGGGGCAGGUAUGCACAAAACUAGAUUAAUUAAUGAGAAAUUAUACAGUUCUGGUCCACUAAUCUGAUUGUUCCAGUGUUCCAAGAGUGUCUAUAUUUAUUAUAACCACACUGGGAUGUUUCACGUUCAUGUUUGUAUGACUGAUAAACUGCAGCACUCAUCCUGCAGCCUCAUAUCUACAGUCAAAUCAUAGCUGUGCCAAUAUUCAGUAUAACCUUGCUCUUGCUAGAUUGCUUAAAUAUUCUUUUGGAACAGUAGUGGUCCAUCACAGCUCUUGUAUCUACAUGUACCAGGUAUAUUAGAUGUUAGUAUGAUUCAAGCAUAACAUUUGGAUUGAGUUUUAAUUCUGCAAGUUGGCAUCCAGGACAUUGCAAACAUUAUUUUAAAUCCCACUGUGAAGCAAUAUUCAAAUAAGUGUUCAGGCCUACAUGAGAUGUCUGCAGGCAACAUGAGGAUUUUGGGUUCUACUGUAAAUACAUUUUUGGAAUGGUUAUCAUGCCCACGCUGCUCUGAAGUUUGGGAUUUUGGGUGAUCCUGAAAUUCUUUCUGGGUACAAAACAAAACUCCAGGCCCCAGGAGCCUCACAUUGUUGCACAGUGGUAAUGGAGUGGUGAGGUUGGGAGGACCAGGUGCUGGGGAAUGUAAUUGGUGCAUUACAGUGAAGGAAUUUAAGAUUAGGUUAAUCUUAGUCCACACCCCCCUGCCCCGCUUGAAGGCUUCCAGCAAGCCUGCUCUGUCUUGUUUAAAGACACUAAGCAUUGAAAAGUAGACUUAGUUAAUGGUUGUUUGCUUCCAGGCUUCAACACAACCCUCUUAAGAAUUAAAUUCGCUUGGGGAUUAGAUUUGUUCUGCUGCUACUGAGCUAUGCAUAAAUCAGAUGGUGUAGUAUGUCAGCUUUAUUGAUCAAGAUUUAUGUGGUGUGUUUUUUUUUUUUUUUUUUUUUUUUUUUUUGUUUGUUUUUUUUGUUAUUGUUUUCUUUUUGGUCUUUGUGAACUGACCUGUACCCCUAUUCUAAAAAGUGCCACAUGAUUUCUUGUAUGCCACCCUCACUCUACCUGACUGUGCACAGGAGAGUUACUGUCCCUUCUCACACUUUGGAAAAUGCUACUUACAGGCAAGACAUUCAAGUGCAUUAAUUAAAACAAUGCAUAUGUCUGAUCCAACAGGUUUGCAAAAGAAGUUAUUCUUUUAACUUGAACAGUAAGAGAAAAAAUCUAAUCCAUGAACAAAAAUGGAGCAUUGAAUAUAAAGUCAGCUGUUAGCCAGACUCUGAGAUUGUUGUUUGCGUUUCAUAUCCAAGUAGAACACAACACUGCCACGCCUACCUUCCAGGAUAUCUGUGUGACUUGUUCAACAAACAUGUUGGAACACUGGGAUACAUUUACUGGACUCACCCAUUUGUUGGAUUAUUUGGAACAGUUGGUAAAACUAGAAAAACAGCACCACAAAUUGUACCCAAUCAGUUGAAGAGUGGGCCAAAUUUGACAGUUUCAAGAUGCUAGUGGUAUCGUAAUCUCAGUGCUGUUAGUAAUGUGACAAGGAUUAGGAAAUUAAUGACAUUAAUUCCUAUUUUGGUGUUUCAGCUACUGUUGCAAAAAAAUCCCAUGUUUUCCCAUGUGGGAUUAAUGUUUGGCAGAUUUUUGAUUGCGGUGAGCUUAUAUUAUGUGUUGCCUUUAAGUUUGAAUAACCCUGUGUCGGUUUGUCCAUAGGGCCAGGGUCACACCCAUUCAAAAAAUUUUACUAUUCCUAAAAUGGUCAUUCACAAACCCAUAUGUUUAAAAUUCUAUCGAAAUACUAAAUACCUCCUUUGGGUGACCAACAAUUUUAAAAAGUUUGCAGAUUGACAGAUGGAACCCAAUGAUACAUCAAUUUGCAUGCCUUUCUAGAUGUUACACAGUCGUAGGGAAGCAUGCUCACUGGCCCAUGUAGCCCAUUUACCUUGAGUUAUUUUCGCACCUAGUGGUUAAAAAUGGGACCAACAAGCACUAAUCAAAGACUCAUUAGGGCAGGAACCAUUCUGCCUCAUUCUCAUUCUGUCUGAAAGUUUUCAGUGGAGGAGGAGCAGAAGACUGGUCAGUUAUUGACAUGACAAAGUUGCCAGGGAUGCAGUUUUUACACAAAACUGGGCUGGUUUAAAAAUAUACCAGACACCAAUAUAUUGUUAAUACUCUGAAUUCAAUCUAAUAAAUUUCCACAAACAAAAACCGAGUAUUUUCGUAAAUUUAAAUGGGGAUCAUUGGCAGAUCUAUUCAGUGAACAACCAUGUUUAGUGGAUUAGCUGACCUCAAAACUUGGCUUUGAGACUUUUACUUCACUGUAUGAUUUUUGGAAUUAGUGAAGCAAGUGUUUACUGAAAUAGUAAUUAAUGUUUUAAAUGUUGUUUAAAUGAUGUUUUGAAGAGAGAUAGGAUACUUGUUAAUAUUUAUGAGUUUGUGAGAUUAAGCAUAGCAUUUCACCCUUUCCUGGGGCCUCAGGAUGGGUAUAAGUGAAUGUUGGAUUGGGGAAAAGAUGAGCGGCUCACCCUUCUGCAGGAGUGGGAAGCAAAAAGUUUCCUUUUCUUCCUGAUGCUACAUGGGUCCAAAUACAAACCAUGUGUACUCACGCCUCACUGGCUGGCACUCCACUGCUGUAGCUGUGGCUUCUGCCCACUUCCAGCAGCUUUGGGGGGGAUCCAUUUCAUUGCUGCCUCCUUAAAUUGUUCGCAAAACCUCUGGCCUGCUGCUUUGGGGGCUGGUGACUUAAAUGGCUGUGUCUUUCCUGCGUCCGGUCUUCAAGCAUGGCAGGUAUCCUCGAAGGGCCUUCAGAUAGGGUUAUAGUGUUGGCUUAUGUGAUUGGGUAAGUACAGUAGCCCAACUCCAAUGUCAAAGAUCAUUUCCUGCUUUGAAUUGCAAGAGAUCUCAAGUUAGCUCCUGUGUCCCAGCUGGUUUAAAGCAGUCUUGCUGAAUCUUUCUCUCUCUCCCUUCAUCCUCGUUGGUUACUUCGUCCCGCUAUAAAAUGUUCAACAACCACCAAUGAAUUGUUAGCAGGAACGAGAUAAAUCUUUGUUUUUUUGUUUAGUUGUUGUUGUUGUUGUUGUUGUUGUUGUUGUUGUUUGUUGUUUUCAGAAAUUGAUUCAAAUAUGCUGCCCAUGCAUGCUGAAAUUCUGAUCUGUCAAGACUUGAUAUAAAUUCAGACAUGUGUUGCUACAAACCAAACUUAAAAUGUUUGGCUUUUAUGCAAAUUUGUCUGGAAAUAAAUGCCUAAAUCACAAAAAGUAUUUAUACUUGGCUCAGGGGGAAAUGUUCCAUCAAAUGAUGAGAUGGUAAACAAGUGCAAUGGAAGCAUAUUUGUGGAAUAAAUGAUGAUGAUGAUGAUGAUGAUGAGACAUGUUUUAGUGCUAUAUCUGUAUAUACUUGAACAGAAAUAUGGACACUGAGGACACUCAUGCACUGUUGGGACAGACAAAGAAACAAAAUUUUCUUGAUUUAAUUUAAAAAGGAAAGAUGAAACAUGACUUUGACACUAACCUGGAAAAAGUGGUUACUAAAAUAAAUAGUGAAAGUCAAACAUUAAACCACCCUAUUACACUGCUGAAUUGGUUCUCUUUUAUUUCUGCACACAGAUGAAAAACAGCUGUGUGCUUUCGUUAUCGUUGUAAUUUAUCACUACUUACUUGUACGUCUUUGGUAUUUUUGUGUGACCGCAAUUAAUUUAAACACUUUUGCCCACUUUUUAGAAAUUCAAAGUAUUUCAAAACAAGUAGCUUGACAGCUCUGGGAUAGAAGUCAGUCAGGCUCUGAGUGACUGAAUAGUCUGGUACAUCCUGCCAGAUGGUAGCAGUGUAAACAGGUGGUGGUUGGAGUGUGUGGGUCCUCUGGAUGUGGAGAUGUGGAGGGUCCAUGAGAGGUGAACCCUGAGGAACUUUAAAAUGUCAACUCUCUCUAGAACAGUUCCAUUGAUUGAGAGAGAUUUGUGAUCCACUGUCAGCUUCCUGAAGUCAAUGAUCAGUUCCUUAGUCUUGUUGUCAUUGAGGUGAAGUUUGUUCUCAGUGCUCCAGUCCACGAGCAGAUCUACUUCCUCCCUUCAGGCUGUUACAGCACUAAAAAACAAAUAGACUGUUUGUUUAUUGACCUUCUAUCUCACGCCAUGAGUUGUUGAGCUGUGUUGUAAUUACAGUAACAUUAGUUGUGCGAUGUUAAAUUUUGGGUGUGAAUGAAAGUUUAUUUUGGAUGAGACUUGCAUUUGGAUGGUGAAAAUGACAAAGAAAAAAAACCACAAUGGAUAUUUCUAAUUUCAGGGAAAACAAGGUUGCAUGUGCAAUAAUAUAUUUUCUCCACUUUUUAUUCACUAAAAAAACCAGUGUAUCAGUUGAAUGAUGGAAAGUUUUCCAAUUGUUUCUACAUGUUUUAAAACAAUAAAUAAACAAUUAUAAUGGUAACUGACUAGUUCUGCAACAAUAUUUGAAUUACACUUUGUUGCAAUAUAAAGACAUGGGCUCAAGUGAAAGUUUGGAAACUGCAUUUUAAACAUGAUUUUUCUGGUUAAUUGUAGGAGCAAGAAGAGAUCAUUAAUAGAGAAUUUACAUGUGUUCACAAAUUCAACAAAUAACAAAAAACAAAUUCUUGAGCAGCACUUGAAUGCUUCUCUGAACUAGAAACUUAAAAAUCAGGGAGAUUUAUUGGUCUAUAUCUAUUAAGGAAAAUACACCCUAUCGAUCGUCUCUAUAGCUCUGCCACUCUUGGGGAAGAUGGACAGAAUACUUCCAAGAUCCCACCCCUAACUAUUUUCUUCCUCUGCCCUUCAACACCUCGAUAAAAAGUCAUCUUUUGUUUGCCUCUUGAGCACUAUUCACACACCUGUGGGCCAUCGCUGCAGGCGUGUGUGGGGGAUGUUAUGAUUGCUGCUGCUUAAUCGAGACUUGUUGACUAAAUGGGGUGGGAUUAGGCUCAGAGACAAGGCAUCUUUUCAUCUCAGAUAGUGCGGAGAAAGGUUGGAGUGGCGGGGGGGGUGAGGAGGUAGGGCGGUGGUAGAUGGCAUAUGUACACUUUGUUAACGCAUGCCUUCAUUUCAGCCCAUGCCCCUUUCUGCCCAUGCUGAGACUGUCGAUCCAUUCUGACAGCACACCUCUACGAGACAGUCAUGCAUUUUUCCCAUGAUGCGCAUGCUGCCAUCAAAAGGUUGAGGUAUGACUAUACUUUGAUUGCUGUAUGUACUGUACCAAGAAAAGGAAAAAACCCAAACAGACUUAAUUGCAGUCAGACAGUCUAAGCCAUUGUGUGACUGCACCUAAGGCCAUUUGAGAUCGUUGUCCCCCAGAAGCCUGCACAUGAGGCUUGUUCAAACCUUGCCCUUCCUGUACACAAAAAAACCCCCCAUGCCCUGUCAAACUGGCUCAUGAGCAUGCCAUAAAUGUGUCUGUGUGGGCGUGUGUUAGUGUAUUUGCGCAUGAACCUGUCAGUUGUAUAUUGUUGUACGUCGAUGAAGCACGGAGCCAGUGUCGGAUGCCAUGUGGCUGUGCCUGAUCCUGAUGUUUCCCAGACUCCCUCUGUGCCUGCGCAUUCGGCCAAUGAAACAAAGUUAUCGGCUAUGACCAAAACGCAGAGAGCCUACAUCAGAGGCCUCACACAGAGAAUGACAGCAAGCGUGCUGUCUAUACGAAUAACAUACUAUGACUGGGAUACAAUGACUUCAUGCACUUCAUUUGUGUUUUUCCUUAUUUUAACAAAUCUGCUUACUCUUUCUUUGAAUCCUGAAAUUAAUUAUUACACAUUCCUUAAUAAUGUACAGGAAUGGGGAAAUUGUGAAUUUAAUAGCAAGCUCACUGAGCAUGUGAAAGUAUCAGUUUGCUCACAGUUCUGUGUAGAGGUGACAAAUUAAAGGAAUCAUCAUAAACUUAAUAAGCACCCCUACCUGCCAGAAUAACUUCACUGCACCUUGAUAUACAGUACAUUCAACAAGUUUCUGGAAUCGUAUUGGAGGAAUGAACACCAUUCUUUCAAAAGAUAUUCUCUUAAUUUAACAUUUUAUGGGGAUGGAGAGUGCUAUCAUGUCAUCUCCUACUGUAUGUGCCAAAUUGGUUUGUGUAGUUUUAAAGGCAGUACAUUUUAGUCAAGUAAAAUUGUAAAACAAAAAUCUACUUUGGUACAAUCAGCUGUUCUUGCCACCGCAAUUUCAAAACAUUUCAUCUUCUGCAUAUGCAUAAGACCAAAAGACUUUAAAUGUUUAAUGUGAUACACUCACUUUGAGAUGAUUUUUGCUUUGUGACAUGGUGCAUUAUCAUGCUGGAAGUAGCCAUUAUAAGAUGGGUAAAUUGUGGCCAUGAAGGGAUUUACAUUGUUGGCACCAAUACUCAAAUAGGCUGUGGCAUUAAAGUGACGAUUGAUUGGUAUUAACAAGCCCAAAGUUUGCCAAGAAAGCAUUCCCCACACCAUUACACCAUCUCCACCAGCCUGGACUGUUAACACAAGGCAGGUUGAGUCUCUUGAUUCAUGCUGUUGCUGCCAUAUUCUAAUCCAUCUGUGUGCCUCAGCAAAAAUUGAGAUUCAUCAGAUCAGGCUCCGUUUUUCAAGUCUUCAACUGCCCACUUUUGGUGGGCAGUUAUAGAAAUAUUCAAACCAGCUCAUCUGGCCCCAACAUUUAUGCCAUGGUCAAGAAUACUGAGCACACAUGUUUUUCCCCAUUCUUUUGGUUGAUAUGAACAAGCUUCUAGCCUGUAUCUGCAUGAUUUUAUGCAUUGCCCUGCUGCUACAUAAUUGGCUGAACUAGACAAUUGCGUGAAUGAGUAGGUGUACAGGUGUUCCUAAAGUGUUCGGUGAAUGUACAGUAUGUAUAGUUGGUAUACGACUCCCCAGUAGAUAUUGCAAUUGCACUGCAGUGUCCCUCUAUGCAGUUUCUGUCUCAGUGCAUUGAACUGUUAAUGUCUGGGCCUGUUGAGCAUUCAUGACCACAGCAUGAUCCCACAUCGCUUUACAGACCUGCGUUACAAGAACAUCUGCUUGAGUGGGUGGCUUUUAGCUCUAGGGACACUUCAGGGAAGUUUUCUUCCAGAAGAUAGCAGGUGGGGGACAAUUUGCCCAUGUGGUUCUUCAUACCACAUCAAAGAAUCGUCUUCUCUUUAAAGGCUCUUACAACACAGGACACUGUGGGACAGAACUGUGCGCAAAGCUGCAUAAAAUGUUCAAAUGGCUGUAUUGUUUUAAACAGGAAAGUGACUGACUCGUUCUUAUUUACACUAAAUGGUACUGAUACUUCUAUUAUCACUGCUGAAAACAGAACAGAGUAGCCUAGUCUAUGUCACUUUCUGCAUAAAUAUGUAUUAACCAUGACAUGUGCCUUCUGCCUAUUUUUUUUUAGAUUAAGUAUUUAUAAGAAAUAAUCAGUGGUUAUUCUGUUAACCAUUAGGAGAAGUAAAAAAAAAAAAAAAAAAAAAAAACCUGUAAGUAAUAAAACAUGUUUAUAUAUCAAACAUGACAGGGUGUGUUGUUGAAGGAAAAUAAUUAUAAAUUGUCGAUUAUAAGCUGACUAUUUUCUGACCAUACCUUCUGACCAAUCAGAAUAGAGAAUUCAGUAGUGCUGUGGUGAAAUAAAGUACCAUUUUAGAGAGUAACAUGAAUCAUUGAGCUUCUGAGAUACUGAACCAAAAUGCUAUAUUAGGGCGACAUCAGAUUUACAACAGGAAAAUGGAAAAAAAAUUUUGUUUUUUAUGUAUAGUGCUACUAGAGUCACACUGAAAUAAAUAAUAAAAUGUACAGAAUUUUUUUUAAAGUAUUUAUUUUCAUAGCAAAGUACCGUUUUAUUAUUGUAUAGAAUGGUCACGUAAAUGAUUAGGCAAUUAUAGCAGUGCAUUGGUUUACAGUAAAAUACCAGAAAACACAAUGCAUAGUGGGAUACCUUACAUUUUUGGAAAGGGUGAGAAUAGCAAAAAUUCUCCGUGUCGACCUUUAACUUUAUAUGCUAGAGAACAUGUUCGUCUGUGCAUCGUUGGUUAAGGCUUUGAGUUACAGAUCAGAAGGUCAUGUGUUCAAAUCCCAGCACUGCCAAGCUGCCAUGGCUGGGUUCUUGUGCAAGACCCUAACUUUCUACCUCAGCUAAAUGUGGAAAUGUACUGGAUUAGGGCUGGGCGGUACAUCUAAAAAAUGUAUCACAAUAUAAUGUUUCAUAUCAUUUGGUAUCGAUAAUUAUUGAUAAAUUUUCACCUUUUUUAAACAAAGACCAGUAGAAAAAAAAAAGGGUUUGAAUUUAAGCACUAUAUUUUUUUUAUUUACCUACUUUAUUAUGGCAAACGACAAAUAAUUUUAGUUUUAACAGUCAAAAACAAAAUAGAAUUUAAACAGAUAUCUUCUCUUAUAUCUUGUAUGAAGAUUAAAUAAGUUUUAAAGAAACUCUUGAAUUUCUUCAAUAAAUGUAACAAAAUGUGUGCAAUUCAAAAGUGUAAGCGUAGAACAAUCAAGGCAAACAAGCGCCGAAUGUGACUCCUGGUGCUCUGGUUUCUUCCCUUGCCUGCUAUUGAGUCACACGCAUUGCAAGUGCACAAGUCUCUCGCAGCCUGUUUCUCUGUAAUUGGCCCGGACGUUUUUUUUUUUUUUGGGGGGGGUAAAGCUUACACACAAUGGUGUUCUGGUGUUGGUCAGAUGAAAAGAAACAAGCAAAAAUAAACUGCCACACUAGUGAGCUGACGUCCUUUUUUCUUCACAAUCUCCUUUGUAGGCACUGAACUAAUUUUCGUGUGUGUUCUGAUGUCACAUGGUGAUGGCACAUACAAACCCCACAGAUACACAACUUGUUAUUGGCUGUCGCUCAUAGCACACUCCUUUAUCAAGGCAUAUGUUAGGCUGUUUAUGAUCCAGGGAUGGCGCACACUUGAGGGUAAUUUAUACAACCAAACUUCACUUCUGCUUACAUUUUAUCAAUUGUUGUACCGAACAAUUUUUCUGUCUUUACCGUUAAAUGUGUACAGUCAAUAAAUACCGAUACCGUUUUAUCACCCAGCCCUAUACUGGAUUAUGUUUUUGUAUUUAUUUAUUUAUUUAUUGUGUUUAUAUUGACCGGUAUUUUACUUGCAAAAAUAUUGCUGGAAACAUACAGCAAUAUACUGUAAAAGGAAUUACCUGUAAAGAUAUUGCAUUACUUUACUGUAAAUGUUUUACGUUUAUUUACUGUAAGUUUACUCUGUUGACAGUAAAUUACUGUAAAUGUUUGAGUGUACUAUAAGUAACUGGCCUAAUAGUCAAAGUGAGAAGAGAUCCAGGGUUGUCGUUUAAUCAUUUUUACCACACCCUUGUUAUGACAAAUCCCAGAAGAGGGACUUCAGAAGUCACAUCCCCUUAGUGAUCGAAGCAAACAGUGGAGAAACAUUAUACACCCCCGACACACAGAUUUUGCUGGAUAAUGGGAUUAAAGUGGGAACAAAAUACUCAUGACUUUAUUGGAGUGGUGAACAAAUAAAUAAUGGGAAAUAAUAUUUCCCAGACAGCACUGCCCUGUGAAUUCUAGCACAUUUAUUUCCACUGUUCCAACUUUGCUUUGUAGUUGUGUUUUAUAUCUAUUGUGAAGAAAUAAAAGUAUUUUUAUUUUACUUAACCUAUAAAAGAACAGUAUUUCUAUUGAUCCAGUGCUCUUACUUCCUACGGGUGGACAUUUGUGCUGCUCUAAAAAUUAUAUCCUAUGCCUUGAAUCCCUGGGCAAAAUAAUUUUUGCAACUGUAUGUUGAACUUGUGGAAGAAGUUUAUAAGGUCUGUAUGAUAAAUUCAUGGAUAUGAUGCAGAAGUGAAAUAAGUGGGGACUCCCACCUUUCAGAGUUUAGAAUCAGUGGCUACGUUUACAUUUACAUCAAUAUUCUGAUAUUAAUCAGAAUUCUGUAAUAUUAUAAUUAGUAUUGUGUAACACAUGCGCACGCACACACACGCACAUACAUAAGGACCUCUAGAGCAUGGGUUCUCCAACUUUUUUGUGUCCAGGAACAUCUUUUACUGUAAAAUAAAUUCCACAGAACCCCUCAGUGCAGAUUUAUUUCAUAAACAUUAUUUUAAAAGAUUACAUAAAUAUGUUGUUUAUUUAGUAGAGCCAUAGAUCUUUUUAUUCUAGAACUUUUCAUGGACAGAACACAUUAGCUCCAGGUUGACAUUAAUUAUUGGCUACUUGUUUUUCAGUUAUUGAUGUGUAAUCAUCCAAUUCAAAUAACCAUUCAAACAAGCUAAUAACUAUAUCAGUAAUAAUCAGUAUAAUAUGUUAAAUAUACAACUGUGUUGUGAUAACUAACCACUAAAUUAUGUGUGACUACAUGGAAAAAAAUCACAGACCCCAUGGCUAUGCUUUAGGGAUGCCUUGGGGGCCCUGAACCACAAUCUUCUGCUAUACAGUUCAGACGAUUUCAUCAAAGUUAAACAUGGCUGAAGCUUAUCAUUCUGUGCAUAGUUGUGAAAAGGAAGAAUUAAAUAGAGGAGCUAUUUGCUUUGUACAAUGUUGAAUGAUUGAACCUUCAGCCUCCUAACAACAAUUCCUGGUUUAAGUUUGAAACUCCCACCCACUCACUCACUCACUCACUCACACUCACUCUCUCUCUCUCUCUCUCUCUCUCUCUCUCUCUCUCUCUCCCUCACUCACACACACACACUGCAAGACAGGAGUUCUGCAAUUUUCUCAAGGAUCAGUCUAGCUACAAGACAGGUCCAUACAUGUUGCACACAAAGAAGGUUGAAAUAAAAGGUUUUGAUUUAUGUAUAUUAAAGUUGUCUGUCAUCACCUGCAAACAACAACCUAAAGAAGAAGAUAAUAGCAGAAAGGCAGAAAGGUAUUUGUGGUUACUAGGGUGGGUGUCGGUACAAGACAAUAAUUGCAAUAAUGUUUGCGCGAGUGGCUGGGCACAAGGAACAAAAUGGUCGGCCCCUUCAGAUGGGUGUGUGUGUGUGUUGAGGCUUGUGGACCGGGUGCGGGGGUGGCUCUGUGCUGGGUGUAAUGAUAGGCUGAUGCAGGUGAGAGCAUGACUAUGCGUUUGCCUCAGGCAUGUGUUCACACUCACACAAAACAAUAAGCAAUAAAUCUGACAUCUCCUGCACUGUACAACCAAUUACUGGGAGAACAGAGGGAUGAACAUGAGUGCCAGCACUAGUGAGAGGGCUUAGUGAAGACUUACAGUGUAAAUAUACUCACCUUAUUAACCCCAAAUGUCCAACAAUAAGGCCUUGGAACUCAAGUUGCAGACAAGUCAUCACAGAGCCAACCAGAAUAAAUUCCUCCUGUUAGACUGAAUACACUUCCAUUCACAUUGUUGCUCCUAGCAGAGCUUUCAAAACAUGUCUGCAGUGUUCCGUUGUCUUAAUAAGGUGCUCUGAUUCAUCAGAGCUGAAAGACACAACACCACUUAUGAAUGGUCUCUCUGUAAAUCGGUAACAAACAUGCUGGAGGAAAACUGACUUAUGUACAGAUGUAUAGAUCGAGAGAAAUGCACAAGACAGCACAACAUUUGUUUUUCUUACAAAUCCACACAACAGUUUGGUGAGACAAAAAUAGUAUACUUGGUCACUUAUUUAUUGAGGAAAACGAUCCAAUAUUACAUGCUGUAUCUGUGAGUAGCAAAAGUAUGUGAACCUUUGCUUUCAGUAUCUGGUAUGACCCCCUUGUUCAGCAAUAGCAACUAAAUGUUUCGACUAACUGUUGAUCAGUCCUUCACAUCGGCAUAAAAAGGAAUUUCAUCCCGUUCCUCAGUUCAGAACAGUUUCGACUCUGGGAUGUCGGUGUGUUUCCUUAAUGAACUGCUUGCUUAAGGUCCUUCAACAACGUUUCUAUUGGAGUAAAGUCAGGACUUUGACUUGGCCAUUCCAAAGCAUUAACUUUAUUCUACUUUAACCAUUCUUUGGUAAAAAAUUACUUGUGUGCUUAGGGUCGCUGACCUGCUGCAUAACCUACUUUCUCUUGUGAUUCAGUUCAUUUCCUUAAUAAAUAAAUAUUAGUAUGAUACUUUUGUCUUAUUUGUUUAAUUGGGUUCCCUUUAUCUACUUUUAGGAUUUGAUGUUUUAGGUCAUGUUUAUGCAGAUUCACAAACUUUCAAGCACCACUGUAGUUGUGGAGAGCAGACAUAAUGCAUUAAGUGUAUGUUGCAUGUAGCCCCUGUGAACAAAAUAUUGUAAAGGAGCUCUCUGAUGCAAUGACUGUUAUUGUCAUUUUUGACUGCAUUCACUCUCAUGUCAGUCCAACAAACAUAACUCACAGUGCACUCUCUCAAAUCCAUGUGAUGAUGAAGAGAGGAUAAAAAGACAUAACCUCUAUCAAUCAUGUGGGAUUUUUAAUAGGAUAUUAUGGGGGUUUUUUGCACAGUGGUCAGACUGCUUUUAAACACACCUUUAUUAUGUAAUAUAUUAUCAGGAUUUAUGUGUGCAUGCAUCUCUGGCAGGCUGGGAAAAUGUGUUGAAUGACGAUGUGGCUGAAGUCAAAUGUGGAAGUCAAAUGUGGCUGAACAGCCAAAAGUGUCCUUUUGAUACUUUAAAAAAAAAAAAAAAAAAAAAGGAAAUACAUUUUAUGAAAAUGAUGUGGAAUAUCUUUAUUUACUUUUUAAUAUUAUCUUUUAUCUGCAAAGCAUAUGCAGAGUAAGCAUGCAGAUUAAUACACAAAUUAUAAAAAAUACAAUCUGACUAAAUGCUAUGGUAUUACACUUAUUAAUGCAAUCUUCAGUAUCCACUUUAUCCUGGUCAGUGUAGUGUUAAAUCUAGAGCCUAUCCUGGAAAGACUGGGUCAAGGCAGGAAUACAUCAGUCCAGCACAGUGUGCUAUUUCAGGAAUGUGCCCUGCAGUGGGUUGGCACCCCCUCCAGGGUGUCCUGUGCCUUGUGCCCCGAGUUCCCUGGGAUAGGCCCCAGGCUCCCUAUGACCCUGGGAUAUGAUAAGCAGUAAAGAUAAUGGAUGGAUGGAUGGAUGCAAGAGCAUGUGAUGUAUCAGAGGGAAAUCAGUAUUUAGAAGUUACAUUGGUUUAGUUAUUCCCUUGCUUUGUAGUGUAGUGAAUUUCUAAAGUUUUGGCCUGGUACAAUGAAUUAAAGCAAGCACAGUUUUCAAUUGAACUUUCAAAUUUAUUAUGUAAGAACAUUUGCAGUUGAUGUUAAUGGAGAUGUACUCCUGAAGAUUGAACAUGACCUGCUUAUUAUGAUCGGGUCUUUGUCUGUAGAUAACUGGCUGUGUGGACUGUAGUGAGAAGUUUACAUCGCACACGUACAUACCAUAGCAUACCUGAAAGUGGCACAACAAUGUGAGCUUUUGUCUUGGUCCCUGCCUUGCCGUCUUUAGGGAAGAAGAACUGGGCUUGCAGCAAACCAUCACACACAAUAAAGGUGUGAGAAAGGGGUGUCUGGAUCCCACCGUUGGCUGACCACACCAACCGCACUCGCAUGCUCGCUUCCCCGUUGUAUUUCAUCUUCCUUAUACUUUUCAGUUUUCUUACCGUCACACAGAUGAGCCAUUGUUUUCUUGUCUAUUGCAUGCAGCUAUUUAGGCAGCAAGUGACUCUUACCCAUUCUGAAUCCCCACUGAAGUUAGCAGCUAACAGCUUAAAGCUGUAAUCACACUAGAAAUUUGCAGGCCUUCUUACAAUGUUGUGACAAAGGGGCCUAUGUUAUUAUUUGUGACUUACAUGAGAUUGAGGGAACAUUUGACAGAUUUUCUAAAUUAAUUUCUAUCCUAUAUCGGAGGUGGACAAAUCAUAAAUUCAUAAAAGCUCCAGUGUGUUGCCAGUCCUAUGUUUUGGAUGCCCAGAAACUGAAUUGACUUGGCUAAAAACAUAGCUAAAAACUAAGCUAGUUAGCUUGUUCAAUGCAUUCCAGGAACACAUUGUACACAUGGAUUAUAAAACAUUGCUCUAUUGCUCACAACAAAAAAACUGGUCAAUAUUUUGGCUAUGACAGGUGGUGAUCUGUCCUGUUAUAGUAUGACUGAUAUAGCAAAGAGGUUGCAAAGUGACUAGCAACAGAAUUAUGACAAAGAUUAUCUGUUAUACGUGCAUGCCUAGUAAAAUAAUUUUGUAGUCAGCCAUAGCCAGUGUGUGUAGUGUAGCACUGGCAUUCGGAAUGAGUAAAUUAAACUGUAAUUACAGAAUUGUGUAUUACAAUUUAUUAUUAUUAUUAUUAUUAUUAUUAUUAUUAUUACAUACCAAAUGAAAACAUUUGGAUAGCCAAGGUCAAUAAGCAAUGUGGG